GACGAACCGUGCGAACGUUAUUCGGAAUCACUGGGCUUAAAGCGCGUGUAGGCGGCCCGGCACGUCCGUCGCUGAAAUCCCCCGGCUCAACCGGGGGAAGUGGCGUGGAUACGGCCGGGCUGGAGGGGGGUAGGGGGAGCCGGAACUUCCGGUGGAGCGGUGAAAUGCGUUGAGAUCGGAAGGAACGCCCGUGGCGAAAGCGGGCUCCUGGACCCCACCUGACGCUGAGACGCGAAAGCCAGGGGAGCGAACGGG
This 255-nucleotide ribosomal RNA is filed under the name uncultured bacterium. RNAcentral's name for it is "partial 16S ribosomal RNA". It matches the Rfam family "Bacterial small subunit ribosomal RNA", at positions 524 to 776 of the family's 1533-position model. The record is from RNAcentral.